CCUACGGGAGGCAGCAGUGAGGAAUAUUGGUCAAUGGACGCAAGUCUGAACCAGCCAUGUAGCGUGCAGGAUGACGGCCCUAUGAGUUGUAAACUGCUUUUGUAUGAGGGUAAACUCCGAUAUGUGUACUUGUUUGAAUGUACCGUAUGAAUAAGGAUCGGCUAACUCCGUGCCAGCAGCCGCGGUAAUACGGAGGAUUCGAGCGUUAUCCGGAUUUAUUGGGUUUAAAGGGUGCGUAGGCGGUCGGUUAAGUCAGUUGUGAAAUCCCGAGGCUCAACCUCAGAAUUGCAUUUGAUACUGGUAGGCUAGAGAAUAGUAGCGGUAGGCGGAAUGUGUGGUGUAGCGGUGAAAUGCUGAGAGAUCAUACAGAACACCGAUUGCGAAGGCAGCUUAC
This 394-nucleotide ribosomal RNA is filed under the name uncultured bacterium. RNAcentral's name for it is "partial 16S ribosomal RNA". It matches the Rfam family "Bacterial small subunit ribosomal RNA", at positions 338 to 729 of the family's 1533-position model. The record is from RNAcentral.